UAUGUCGUGAAAGAAUGAGAAUGAUAAAUGAGCAAAGUUGAAUUACUGAGUCUAAUAAGAAUGAACUGGCCAAGCCCUCCAGUGCGGGUGGGAGCAUGAGGCCAGGUGCCUGUGCUGACAAAGGGGUUCUUGCAAACAGUUUACUGACUGGCCAGUGCACGGAAAGGGCCAAGCUCAGCACCAGACACUCAAGCCUCCUUACCACCACCAUCCCCCCUCGCCCGGGUGAAGCAGGCAGUGACCCCUCGCCCAGGUGAAGCAGGCAGUGACCCCUCGCCCAGGUGAAGCAGGCAGUGACCCCUCGCCCAGGUGAAGCAGGCAGUGACCCCGAUAACGUGCGUUCAGCGGAUUCACGUUGUCUGGCAAUUUCAGCUCUACUUAUCUUGUUAAACAUAAUUCAAUUUUUUUAAAAUAAAGAGGCUAUAUAAAACCACGAGCUUUGAGUCACAAGCCCUG
Molecule: long non-coding RNA, 456 nt
Organism: Orcinus orca (killer whale)
Lineage: Eukaryota; Metazoa; Chordata; Mammalia; Artiodactyla; Delphinidae
Exons: 3
Source: RefSeq, a predicted model, not a curated record